This 40-nucleotide non-coding RNA is filed under the name Trypanosoma brucei brucei. Lineage: Eukaryota; Euglenozoa; Kinetoplastea; Trypanosomatida; Trypanosomatidae. The record is from RNAcentral.
AAAAUUAAUUGGGUAUUUAGUGUGGUAUGAUAGUGUAUAU